Molecule: ribosomal RNA, 1161 nt
Filed under: Rhodococcus sp. D-1
Lineage: Bacteria; Bacillati; Actinomycetota; Actinomycetes; Mycobacteriales; Nocardiaceae
Description: bacterial LSU rRNA
Rfam family: Bacterial large subunit ribosomal RNA
Source: RNAcentral
UGGGGCCGCAGAGACCAGUGAGAAGCGACUGUUUACUAAAAACACAGGUCCGUGCGAAGUCGUAAGACGAUGUAUACGGACUGACGCCUGCCCGGUGCUGGAAGGUUAAGAGGACCGGUUAGUUCCUUCGGGAGCGAAGCUGAGAAUUUAAGCCCCAGUAAACGGCGGUGGUAACUAUAACCAUCCUAAGGUAGCGAAAUUCCUUGUCGGGUAAGUUCCGACCUGCACGAAUGGCGUAACGACUUCUCAGCUGUCUCAACCGUAGACUCGGCGAAAUUGCAUUACGAGUAAAGAUGCUCGUUACGCGCGGCAGGACGAAAAGACCCCGGGACCUUCACUACAGCUUGGUAUUGGUGUUCGGUUCGGUUUGUGUAGGAUAGGUGGGAGACUGUGAAGCGGUGACGCCAGUUAUCGUGGAGUCGUUGUUGAAAUACCACUCUGAUCGAAUUGGACCUCUAACCUCGGACCAUGAUCUGGUUCAGGGACAGUGCCUGGUGGGUAGUUUAACUGGGGCGGUUGCCUCCCAAAAUGUAACGGAGGCGCCCAAAGGUUCCCUCAGCCUGGUUGGCAAUCAGGUGUCGAGUGCAAGUGCACAAGGGAGCUUGACUGUGAGACUGACAGGUCGAGCAGGGACGAAAGUCGGGACUAGUGAUCCGGCACCGGCAAGUGGAAGCGGUGUCGCUCAACGGAUAAAAGGUACCCCGGGGAUAACAGGCUGAUCUUCCCCAAGAGUCCAUAUCGACGGGAUGGUUUGGCACCUCGAUGUCGGCUCGUCGCAUCCUGGGGCUGGAGUAGGUCCCAAGGGUUGGGCUGUUCGCCCAUUAAAGCGGCACGCGAGCUGGGUUUAGAACGUCGUGAGACAGUUCGGUCUCUAUCCGCCGCGCGCGUUAGAAACUUGAGGAAGGCUGUCCCUAGUACGAGAGGACCGGGACGGACGAACCUCUGGUGUGCCAGUUGUUCCGCCAGGAGCACCGCUGGUUAGCUACGUUCGGAAGGGAUAACCGCUGAAAGCAUCUAAGCGGGAAGCCUGUUCCAAGAUGAGGUUUCUCACCCCCUCGAGGGGGUAAGGCCCCCGGCAGACCACCGGGUUGAUAGGCCAGAACUGGAAGUGCAGUAAUGCAUGCAGGUGACUGGUACUAAUAGGCCGAGGACUUACCACAA